UACGAAGGGGGCUAGCGUUGCUCGGAAUCACUGGGCGUAAAGCGCACGUAGGCGGAUUUCUAAGUCAGGGGUGAAAUCCUGGAGCUCAACUCCAGAACUGCCUUUGAUACUGGAGAGCUUGAGUCCGGGAGAGGUGAGUGGAACUCCGAGUGUAGAGGUGAAAUUCGUAGAUAUUCGGAAGAACACCAGUGGCGAAGGCGGCUCACUGGCCCGGUACUGACGCUGAGGUGCGAAAGCGUGGGGAGCAAACAGG
Molecule: ribosomal RNA, 253 nt
Filed under: uncultured bacterium
Lineage: Bacteria
Description: partial 16S ribosomal RNA
Rfam family: Bacterial small subunit ribosomal RNA
Source: RNAcentral